UCUGCUGGAAUGGGGAGGAAGGGGACAGAGCACCCUAUUCGUGCUGAUUGUACCACCCUGUCAGUGUCCAAGGUCAGUGGACCACUCAAUUGCCCUAACUUGCUGCUAUACGGUAAAUAUCACCCCUGAAAUACAAAUUGUGGAAAAGCAGUGCUAAAGAUGAGCCACUGCAACUCUGCAUAAUAAACAGUUACUGGAACUUCCUGAUAGAUGCCUUACACCUCGAAAUCUGGUUCUUCUAGAUGCUCCACACUCCCCUACUUCCAGCUAUUUCUUACCCAGAGUUCAUUCAACACAUCUCAUUCUGUUGCAAGAAGCAGGGGAGCCACAAAGGCAUGGAGUGGGACAUUGCAGACAACAGAUAUACCUAAAAGGAUCUACAAGGAGUCUUCAGAUAAACAAAGGAGCUUUCUUUUGUCUGCCAACAAUCAACAAAUAUUUAUUAUGCAACUAAUUUUCUUCCAAAUGUCUCUUGUGGAGCAGGUUUAAGGGAGUCCGCCCAAUGGUUUUAGCCAUUGUGAAGAGAGGAGUUUUGAAGUCCAAAUGCAACUAAUACUCAGGAUAAAACCGACUUGUGAACAGCAAAUCAUGGCAACCGGGCUGAAAUUCGAGUCCAUGUAUGCAAAUAUGAAAAUCCUGGGGUUGUAGUAAUGAUUUGGUAAAAUAACAGCACUCUUCAAAGUUUCUGGAAAAUUCUACAUAAUGCGAUUCCACGAGUAGUUUCAUCUAGACAG
This is a non-coding RNA of Oryctolagus cuniculus (rabbit), 734 nucleotides long. The record is from RefSeq and is a predicted model, not a curated record. Lineage: Eukaryota; Metazoa; Chordata; Mammalia; Lagomorpha; Leporidae.